Molecule: long non-coding RNA, 797 nt
Organism: Amphiprion ocellaris (clown anemonefish)
Lineage: Eukaryota; Metazoa; Chordata; Actinopteri; Pomacentridae
Source: Ensembl
GUCCUUAUGUGUAGCCACCGUUGUUGUCAUAGAUAUGAAUGAGUAGAUAGGACACGCCCCUUUGAGCUGCGUGCUACGGCGAGGCUAAGCUAGUGGGGGCAUUCCGUUGAUGUAGACGGCGUGAAAACGGAAACAACAAGUAUGCCGGCUCACUGUGCUGCAUACAAUUACACACUACGUCGUACGAUUGAGACAAGGAAACUUGGAAUGACUUUUCAUAGGUUUCCCAGAGACUACGGGUUGAGGAGGAAGUGGAAGUUUGUCGGCUUAGACCUGGUGUCAUUCCAUCAGUGUUAAACUUCCCGGCUCAUCUUGGAAGAGUACGUGCCAGAAAGACCACGACCAAGCAGCCUUGAGAUCUUAGGCAGCGUCUCCCUCAGGUCCCUCUCUAUCUCCCUACACAUCCACCAACCACUGGAACACAUCUCCAAAGUUCUGCCGGGCCAGCUCAGCUUCCCCUCAGAAGAAGUGCCGCCACCUGCCAGAUGAAGGAGCCUUUUGAGAGGCAGCUGGCAUCCUGAUUGGACUGUACUUUGGUCUGUUCCAAUCCAGCUUCAGUUCCAGAGACGGCAGGCGGGACGAGUCAACGGAGGCCUGGUGGACGAAGGCAUGCAGCUGAGUACAAUCCAGAAAACAACAGAGGAGGAGUGCAGCGACCCAGAGCCAGAACAAACAGUAUGUCUCUUAGAAAACAUCAUAGUAUAGCCUUUAGUAUGAAAAAACGCCAUCAUAUACAUCGUAUAUUGUACAAAUAACAAGUCAAAGGAAAGAGACAUACAUUGUAGAAUUGUAGUAAU